Molecule: ribosomal RNA, 253 nt
Filed under: uncultured bacterium
Lineage: Bacteria
Description: partial 16S ribosomal RNA
Rfam family: Bacterial small subunit ribosomal RNA
Source: RNAcentral
UACAGAGGGUGCGAGCGUUGUCCGGAAUCACUGGGCGUAAAGGGCGCGUAGGCGGCUUGAUAAGCGUGCGGUGAAAGCCCGGGGCUCAACCCCGGGUCGGCCGUGCGAACUGUCGAGCUGGAGCACUGUAGAGGCAGGUGGAAUUCCCGGUGUAGUGGUGAAAUGCGUAGAUAUCGGGAGGAACACCAGUGGCGAAGGCGACUACCUGGCCUGUUCUUGACGCUGAGGCGCGAAAGCUAGGGGAGCAAACGGG